AUCUCUAAAUCUGCAAGCAACAAAUAGAUGACGUGGAAUAUGCUUUUCUUUUGAUGGGUGUAAGUGCUCGCGCUUGUCUCUGUUCUCAUGUGGCGGUGCAGUAAUGCAGCCCGUGCAGGGCUCCUUUCUACUAUAUAUAUUGAUCAAUCUAUAUCUAUAAAUCCCAGUAUCACCACCUCCUAUCUAUCCAUUUUGUCUGGCCUUCCUCGAUCCAACGAUGGGAGGAUGAGGAAACAAAAUGGCAUCCACCACAGAGCGAAUCAUAGAGAGCUUUGAUAUCUUCUUGAAAAAGUUGUUCAAGAACUGCGGCCUCAGAAGUUCUAGAUGAUCAACAACUCGGGAGACACUGCAUUACAAGUGUGUCUCCACUUGCAAAAAAGAGAGAUCUUAAAGUCCUUGUGCAAUUAAUUUAAUUCCGAUCAAACAGCUAGGCAAAGAAGCUCUCGAUUAUGUUGCAUCAAUAAUGUGAAAUGUGUCAAUGCAUUGCGGAAGUUGAUUCAUCAUUGGUGAGAGCUUGUAAUGAUCCGGGCUGUGAGACCCUUUAUCUUUUUCUUGGAAGCGCUCUAUGGUAAAGAGGAAGCUGUCCUUCGUCUUCACGAAAUCUGUGGCACCGAGAAUGGCAAUGAAUAUUCCCUGAGGAAGCGAGGAUGGUGAUGCUAUUCUUCGUUGUGCCAUUGCUGAAGACUAUUUUACUCAUCAAAAUAGCUCCAGCAAUGGCACAGUGAAGAAUAGUGUCUCCAUCUUCCCUCGGAGAAGCGAGGACCAAGCUAUAGGAUGGGACUUGGCUUAUAAAAAAGCGACAGAAGCAUGAACAUUUUUAAUUUAGGGAGCCGAUAGAGAUACACAGAAAUCCUACACACUAAUUAGUCUUUUUUUUUUUUCCUCCAGAAAGUGAGUAGAAUGUCUGUUAUUGCCAUGCCAUCCUGUCUGUAGAGUCCCAGCAAUUUCCAUUUCACAUGUUUUCAUUCCCGCCCAACGUCCUUGCAAGUCUUCUUCAGCAACUCAACGUCGGCCAUGGUUACAGUCACUCUGAAGCCCUCGCCGGUAGGUAUACACAAGAUAGAAUGGGAACAAAAUUUUUUACACAUUCCUUUUACACGAAGGUGGGAAAUAUUAGCAAAAAUGGCAUUUGUACACAUUCUGUAUCUCAUAUCUGUACAAAACUGAAAUAAAAGAGUUCUAAUUUGUUAUGCAUCCUUUGUUAUUUAUCAGCUUUUGUUAUCACCUUUACUUGCACCUUCCCAGUCGUGUUAUGGCCUUGCAUUUCAUUUUUUUUUAUGUUAUUGCCUUGUAUUUGUUUUCGAGUCUGAAGUAUGUAUUUGAGUUCUAGUCUAAAGUGUGCUCUAGUCUGAAGUGCGUUUUAUGUCUUAAGUCUGAAGUGUGUUCUAGUAUGAAACCAUAUAAUACGAGUUUUUAAUUUCGGUUUUGUAUAGAACUGUUUUUUUGAGAGGCACAGUGGUUUAUAUGUUGUUUUCAUUUGGGAGCCACGUCCGAAAUAUUGUUUUUGUUUGGAAGCCACCCAAUAUAGUUGUUUAUAUAUUUUUAUUAUUAUUUUAUUUUGUAACUACAAUCAAGAUGGACUCAUGUCGAUUGAUAUUUUCCGAAGAAGAACAUGACAUUGAUGAUCCUGACACUCCAAGAGGUUAGAUAUUAAUUAUUGAAUUUUUAAUGGCAUUGUUUUAUAAACUCUUUUUAAUAUCAAUUGUUUUAUGGUAUGCUUAACGGAUUUUAAAUAAAUCAUGUUUUGCUUAAUGUGGACCAACAAAAACAAGCUGGAUCUCAGUAUUCUGGGAAUCAAAAGGUUGAAGAACCAAGGAUUGAUAUGAUAUUUGGAACUCAAGUAAAUGUUACUGAAUACUACACAAAGUAAACCGGAAGGAUUUGGAGUGUCUAAAAGAAUAUCGACUAGUGGGCAUGAUUCCAGUGCUGAAAGAAACUUAAUACUCUGCUUGUUGAUGGAGAGAGUGACAGACUCUGUCAAGUCAAUAUUCCGAACAGUAAUCCCUUUAAUUGCAGCUAGUAGAUGUGGUUGAGAGUGUAAGUCGUGUUUUUUCUAUUGAAUUAUAUUUACCAAUCUGCAUCAUUUUUUUUUCUUUUUUUCUUUUUUCCUUUUUUUCAUUUCAGUUUUUUUAUGGUCUCUAUGUAAGAACUAAGAUGAGAAUGACGGUUUGGGGCUUAUGGUAGUUGAUGUUUUCUGUUUAGUAGUAUCGAGGCUGUAAGUGGGACUUUGUGAAACUAAUUCUUGGACCA
Long non-coding RNA from Carya illinoinensis, 2250 nucleotides. RefSeq lists it as uncharacterized. The record is from RefSeq and is a predicted model, not a curated record. Lineage: Eukaryota; Viridiplantae; Streptophyta; Magnoliopsida; Fagales; Juglandaceae. The transcript has 2 exons.